Molecule: ribosomal RNA, 306 nt
Filed under: uncultured bacterium
Lineage: Bacteria
Description: partial 16S ribosomal RNA
Rfam family: Bacterial small subunit ribosomal RNA
Source: RNAcentral
GACAGCAGCCGCCGCGGUAAUACGUAGGUCCCGAGCGUUGUCCGGAUUUAUUGGGCGUAAAGCGAGCGCAGGCGGUUAGAUAAGUCUGAAGUUAAAGGCUGUGGCUUAACCAUAGUACGCUUUGGAAACUGUUUAACUUGAGUGCAGAAGGGGAGAGUGGAAUUCCAUGUGUAGCGGUGAAAUGCGUAGAUAUAUGGAGGAACACCGGUGGCGAAAGCGGCUCUCUGGCUUGUAACUGACGCUGAGGCUCGAAAGCGUGGGGAGCAAACAGGAUUAGAUACCCCCGUAGUCCCUGUCUCUUAUACA